GAUCCUGGCUCAGGAUGAACGCUAGCGACAGGCUUAACACAUGCAAGUCGAGGGGCAGCACAGGUAGCAAUACCGGGUGGCGACCGGCGCACGGGUGAGUAACGCGUAUGCAACUUACCUAUCAGAGGGGGAUAACCCAGCGAAAGUCGGACUAAUACCGCAUGAAGCGACGGGGCCCCGCAGUGGGGAUAUUUGCUAAAGAUUCAUCGCUGAUAGAUAGGCAUGCGUUCCA
This 232-nucleotide ribosomal RNA is filed under the name uncultured bacterium. RNAcentral describes it as "partial 16S ribosomal RNA". It matches the Rfam family "Bacterial small subunit ribosomal RNA", at positions 15 to 240 of the family's 1533-position model. The record is from RNAcentral.